CCUACGGGAGGCAGCAGUGAGGAAUAUUGGUCAAUGGCCGCAAGCCUGAACCAGCCAAGUAGCGUGAAGGAUGACUGCCCUACGGGUUGUAAACUUCUUUUAUCAAGGAAUAAAGUGAGGCACGUGAGCCUUUUUGUAUGUACUUUAUGAAUAAGGAUCGGCUAACUCCGUGCCAGCAGCCGCGGUAAUACGGAGGAUCCGAGCGUUAUCCGGAUUUAUUGGGUUUAAAGGGGGCGUAGAUGGGUUGUUAAGUCAGGUGUUAAAGUUUGCGGCUCAACCGUAAGAGUGCAAUUGAUACUGGCUGUCUUGAGAUGAGGAGAGGUAGGCGGAAUGCGUAGUGUAGCGGUGAAAUGCUUAGAUAUUGCGAAGAACUCCGAUUGCGAAGGCAGCAUACAAGCGGCGAUCUGACGUUGAUGCACGAAAGUGUGGGUAUCAAACAGGAUUAGAUACCCUAGUAGUC
Molecule: ribosomal RNA, 460 nt
Filed under: uncultured bacterium
Lineage: Bacteria
Description: partial 16S ribosomal RNA
Rfam family: Bacterial small subunit ribosomal RNA
Source: RNAcentral